CAGUCGCCGCGGUAAUACGAAGGGUGCAAGCGUUAAUCGGAAUUACUGGGCGUAAAGCGUGCGUAGGCGGUUUGUUAAGUCUGUUGUGAAAUCCCCGGGCUCAACCUGGGAAUGGCAAUGGAUACUGGCAGGCUAGAGUGUGAUAGAGGAUGGUGGAAUUCCCGGUGUAGCGGUGAAAUGCGUAGAGAUCGGGAGGAACAUCAGUGGCGAAGGCGGCCAUCUGGAUCAACACUGACGCUGAGGCACGAAAGCGUGGGGAGCAAACAGGAUUAGAUACCCCAGUAGUCCCUGUCUCUUAUAC
Molecule: ribosomal RNA, 301 nt
Filed under: uncultured bacterium
Lineage: Bacteria
Description: partial 16S ribosomal RNA
Rfam family: Bacterial small subunit ribosomal RNA
Source: RNAcentral